UACGUAGGGUGCGAGCGUUAAUCGGAAUUACUGGGCGUAAAGCGUGCGCAGGCGGUUCGUUAAAUUCGAUGUGAAAGCCCCGGGCUCAACCUGGGAACUGCAUUGGAAACUGGCGGGCUUGAGUGUGGCAGAGGGGGGUGGAAUUCCACGUGUAGCAGUGAAAUGCGUAGAGAUGUGGAGGAACACCGAUGGCGAAGGCAGCCCCCUGGGCUAACACUGACGCUCAGGCACGAAAGCGUGGGGAGCAAACAGG
Molecule: ribosomal RNA, 253 nt
Filed under: uncultured bacterium
Lineage: Bacteria
Description: partial 16S ribosomal RNA
Rfam family: Bacterial small subunit ribosomal RNA
Source: RNAcentral